Rattus rattus (black rat) is the source of this 402-nucleotide non-coding RNA. Lineage: Eukaryota; Metazoa; Chordata; Mammalia; Rodentia; Muridae. The record is from the annotation of a RefSeq genome assembly.
AUGAAGUUGAAAUUGAGCUUAAUUUUUGUUUUUGCUCUUUUAAAAGAUGUCUGGUGUGAAGUACAGCUGCUGGAGUCUGGAGGAAGCUUGGUGCAGCCUGGGGCUUCUCUGAAACUCUCUUGUGUAGCCUCAGGAUUCACUUUCAGUAACUACUGGAUGAGCUGGGUUCGCCAGACUCCUGGAAAGACCAUAGAGUGGAUUGGAAAUAUCAAAUAUGAUGGCAGUUACACAAACUUUGCACCAUCCCUAAAGAAUCGAUUCACAAUCUCUAGAGACAAUGCCAAGAGCACCCUGUACCUGCAGAUGAGCAAUGUGAGAUCUGAGGACACAGCCACUUAUUACUGUAUUAGAGACACAGUGAAUGAACUUCAGUGUGAAACUAGACAUAAACCUCACUGUUAG